UACGAAGGGGGCUAGCGUUGUUCGGAAUCACUGGGCGUAAAGCGCACGUAGGCGGACUUUUAAGUCAGGGGUGAAAUCCCGGGGCUCAACCCCGGAACUGCCUUUGAUACUGGAAGUCUUGAGUCCGAGAGAGGUGAGUGGAACGUCCGAGUGAUAGAGGUGAAAUUCGUAGAUAUUCGGAAGAACACCAGUGGCGAAGCGGUCAUGGCUCGG
Molecule: ribosomal RNA, 213 nt
Filed under: uncultured bacterium
Lineage: Bacteria
Description: partial 16S ribosomal RNA
Rfam family: Bacterial small subunit ribosomal RNA
Source: RNAcentral